This 94-nucleotide ribosomal RNA is filed under the name Ruminococcus flavefaciens. Its description in RNAcentral is "partial 16S rRNA. Bacterial SSU". Lineage: Bacteria; Bacillati; Bacillota; Clostridia; Eubacteriales; Oscillospiraceae. The record is from RNAcentral.
CUGGCUCAGGACGAACGCUGGCGGCACGCUUAACACAUGCAAGUCGAACGGAGAUAUUUUGAGUUUACUUAGGAUAUCUUAGUGGCGGACGGGU